Molecule: ribosomal RNA, 510 nt
Filed under: uncultured marine eukaryote
Lineage: Eukaryota
Description: SSU rRNA
Rfam family: Eukaryotic small subunit ribosomal RNA
Source: RNAcentral
GGUUGAAAAGCUCGUAGUUGGAUUUCUGUCGAAAAAGGUCGGUCUUCGCUUCGCGAACGCAUCUGGUUUGACUUCGGCAUCCUCGCGGGGAGGCGGCGCCGCGCUUGAGUGCGUGGUUCGCAGCUCGUGACUUUUACUUUGAGGAAAUUAGAGUGUUCGCGGCAGGCAAGCGCUUUGAAUAUGUUAGCAUGGAAUAAUAGUAUAAGGCCAUCGCUGUAUCUUGUUGGUUCUUAGGGCAUCGGUAAUGGUAAAAAGGGAUGAUUGGGGGCAUUUGUAUUAACGCGUCAGAGGUGGAAUUCUUGGAUUGCGUUACGACAAACUACUGCGAAAGCAUUUGCCAAGGAUGUUUUCAUUGAUCAAGAACGAAAGUAUGGGGAUCGAAGAUGAUUAGAUACCGUCGUAGUCUAUACCAUAAACUAUGCCGACUAGGAAUAGGAGGUUGUUUCUUUUGUGACCCCUUCUGCGCCUUAUGAGAAAUCAAAGUCUUUGGGUUCCGGGGGGAGUAUGGUC